GCCGAAGUGGCGGAAUUGGUAGACGCGCUGGACUCAAAAUCCAGUACGGCUAAACCCCGUGUGAGAGUUCGAGUCUCUCCUUCGGCACAA
Molecule: transfer RNA, 90 nt
Filed under: Ignavibacteria bacterium
Lineage: Bacteria; Pseudomonadati; Ignavibacteriota; Ignavibacteria
Description: tRNA-Leu
Rfam family: tRNA
About the family: Transfer RNA (tRNA) molecules are approximately 80 nucleotides in length. Their secondary structure includes four short double-helical elements and three loops (D, anti-codon, and T loops).
Source: RNAcentral